This 253-nucleotide ribosomal RNA is filed under the name uncultured bacterium. RNAcentral describes it as "partial 16S ribosomal RNA". It matches the Rfam family "Bacterial small subunit ribosomal RNA", at positions 524 to 776 of the family's 1533-position model. The record is from RNAcentral.
UACGUAAGUGGCGAGCGUUAUCCGGAAUCACUGGGCUUAAAGGGCGCGUAGGCGGGCUGCCAAGUCAGGGGUGAAAGCCCACGGCUCAACCGUGGAAGUGCCUUUGAUACUGGCGGCCUUGAGGGAGGUAGGGGCGUGCGGAACUUCCGGUGGAGCGGUGAAAUGCGUAGAUAUCAGGAGGAACACCCGAGGCGAAGGCGGCUCUCUGGGUCGUACCUGACGCUGAGGCGCGAAAGCGUGGGGAGCGAACGGG